UACGUAGGGGGCAAGCGUUGUCCGGAAUCAUUGGGCGUAAAGAGCGUGUAGGCGGCCAGAUAAGUCCGCUGUGAAAUCUCGAGGCUCAACUUCGAGCUGUCGGUGGAAACUGUCUGGCUAGAGUACGGUAGAGGGGGAUGGAAUUCCCAGUGUAGAGGUGAAAUUCGUAGAUAUUGGGAAGAACACCGGUGGCGAAGGCGGCUCACUGGCUCGUAACUGACGCUCAUGCACGACAGCGUGGGGAUCAAACAGG
RNAcentral lists this ribosomal RNA (253 nucleotides) under uncultured bacterium. RNAcentral describes it as "partial 16S ribosomal RNA". It matches the Rfam family "Bacterial small subunit ribosomal RNA", at positions 524 to 776 of the family's 1533-position model. The record is from RNAcentral.